RNAcentral lists this ribosomal RNA (98 nucleotides) under Dasypus novemcinctus (nine-banded armadillo). Lineage: Eukaryota; Metazoa; Chordata; Mammalia; Cingulata; Dasypodidae. The record is from RNAcentral.
UACCACCCUGAACAUGACUGAUGUCUCUCAUCUCUGAAGCAAAGCUGGGUAGGGCCUGGUUAGUACUUGGAUGAGAGACCAUCUGGGAAUGUCAGAUC